GGUUGAUCCUGCCAGUAGUCAUAUGCUUGUUUCAAAGAUUAAGCCAUGCAAGUGUAAGUAUAAAUUUUUAUACGGUGAAACUGCGAAAAGCUCAUUAAAACAGUUGUAAUGUACACGAAGAUCCUUACUAUAUGGAUAUCCAUGGUAAUUCUGGGGCUAAUACAUGCGAAAACACCUGCAAAGGUGGCAAUCGUUGAUGGCUCAGAACCAAUCGGGGUUUACUCCGUUAUUGGGGAUUACGGCGAAAGUGCGGAUCGUUAAUACGACAGUUCGUUCCAGCUUCUGACCUAUC
Molecule: ribosomal RNA, 292 nt
Filed under: uncultured eukaryote
Lineage: Eukaryota
Description: partial 18S ribosomal RNA
Rfam family: Eukaryotic small subunit ribosomal RNA
Source: RNAcentral